Molecule: RNA transcript, 6486 nt
Organism: Dermochelys coriacea (leatherback sea turtle)
Lineage: Eukaryota; Metazoa; Chordata; Testudines; Dermochelyidae
Gene: KATNIP
Gene name: katanin interacting protein
Exons: 24
Source: RefSeq, a predicted model, not a curated record
GACACGGUAUGGGGCGGGGCGGGGCGGCGCGGCUCCGGGGUGAAGCAGCGGAGGAGUGGGGACGGGGUGGCUCCGAAUUGAAGGCGGAGUACCGGCCUAGGGUUUACACUAAGGACAUGGUGACUGACUUUGAUGAGAAGCAUGAUGAAUAUUUAAUAUUACUUCAACAAAGAAACCGGAUAUUGAGACAUUUGAAAAGAAAGGACCCCAUGCAAAUCAAACUAGAGCAUUUAGAACAAGGAUUUUCUCUGUAUCUAAAUGGAGCUAAUUCAGAGUCAAGAAAUUGUCGCAGAAAACCAAGUUUUCAAGAAUUCUUUAGAUGUGGGUUGCAGACUGCAAGGAUAAAUGAUUCUGGUACGGCAGUCCAAGUAAAAGAAAUUGAACUGCAAGGACGCAGCACGCAGACUGCACCAAGCAAAAUCCAACGUAAAGGAUGGCGUCAGACACCUGUGCUGAUUAAAACGGAAACUGGCUCUAGACUCUGCAUUUCACCUCCUCUGGAGUACUCUGAUGAUUUUGAACCUUAUGAAAGCCUGAAUAUGGAGACAAACGACAAUCAUAUUAAUUGUUCCCAGAAUCUCAAGUCUCCCAAAAGCAGUCCUGUCAGUGACUUUAAAUUCACCACUCGGAACCCAGAACUCCAAGUACACGACGAUGUGGAAAAGGAAAGAAUACUUUUAAGUAUUGAUGAUGUAAAGGAAUUGAGAAGAAGUUUGGAACUCAGUGUAAGUCAGAAAAGGAUGGAGAAGGAAUGUUCUAGUGAUGACUAUGACUCUGUUGAGGAGGAUGUGCUUUUGGAGCACUCUCAAAUGGAAGAGACAGUUGCAAGUUUUGGAAGCCUCCAGUUGCCCAGUGGUGAGUCAUUACUGAAGGAUGUUCCCAAGUAUCAGGAGGCUGGAAGGUGCUGUGACCUUGAUGCUGGUGCUCUCGUGCUGGAAUUUAAGCAGAAUCUGACAAAUAUGAAACAGGAACGAAUUCUGUCUGCAAAGAGGAAAGAUGCUGCUGAAACCUACAUUCCAAUUAGACGUAUGAAGGUCAGAAGUAAAAUGGCUCGUCCACUUUCUGCUGGACCCCUGCACCAGGAGGGACAUGAAACAACCUGCUCCCGACCAGUAAGUCGACCAGAAAAGCCACUGUCAGCAACUCGAAGGAAUGUGUGUGAAAAGAAGGAUCCUGAGCAAUCUGCCUCUGCUGUCAUUAAAGCUAUGCAAGUUGAAAAUGAGAUCUUGCAAAGAGAGAUGCUUUGCAGAAGGCUGGAGACUUCUACCAGCAAUCAAAUGGUAUGCCAAAGUACUGACCUGGGACAAGAGAGAUCCAAGCUGCCUUCUGUUUCAAUUUCAUCUAUUUCUGCAACAAUUGAGCCUUCAGAAAAACAACAGGAAACAACUGUAGUCACAGAAGCCAUUGAAAGAAUUGGCCAUUUGGGAAGCAGGCAACAGAAGAAACUUUUGAAACUCCUGCAGGAAAUUGAGAGCUGUUCUACCUGCCACAGUCACGAAGUCCUACCUACUGAGGAACCGGAGCCAGAUUCUGUGGAUCAGCUGCAAACAAAGGCAGAAGUACAGGAUGCCAUUUAUGUGACUAUGGAAAUCCUCUCCAAUUGGGGGAAUGCAGUCAAUGUGGGCUUGACGGAGGUGGAAUUCUUUGAUUUACAUGCUGUCAGGAUGUUUGUGUCUCCUCAUGACGUGGACAUCCGAAAUGCUGACUCUCCAGGGGAUCUCUCUUGCCUGGUCAAUAGAAGCUUGAAUAGCACCAACGAGCGCUUCCUGUGGACGUGCCCUUUCCAUGCACCAGUUCAGCUUUACUUUGUUAUCCGCAAUCCCAGCUGGUCACGUGACUUUGGUAUAUCUAAAAUCAAGAUUUGGAAUUACAACACGACAACUCUUAGUGAUCUUGACAUAGGUGCAAAGAACGUGAAACUGUAUAUUGAUGAGAACCUUGUAUUCAAUGGUCAGUUAGAAAAAGGCUGUGGAGAUCUAACCACUGAUUUCAGCACUACAGUUGACCUUAAAGACAAUAGACAAGAGAUUGCUGCACAUUCUACACAAGGAAGAAAACAAUCAAAGGGAGCUAAUAGCACAGGCAAUAAGGAGGACCUGUAUUUAAAAUAUCCACAGCCAGACGGGGCUUCAUUACACUGGAAAUCUUCCUUAGAAGAAAAUCUCCCUGAGGAAAUGAUGAAUUCCAUCAACUUUAGGAAAGAGAAAUUGACUAGAUUAGAAGAAGAUCUGAAGGUGUUAUCAGCUCCUGUGUCUACGAAGGCUCUCAAGAAUGAUGUGUCAGAAUCAGCAGUUGUGGAGUACAUUCAGUCUGAUGAUGAGCUUACUAUGAGUGAGCAAAUGGAAAAACUAACCGGAAGAAAAUUAUCUGAAUCUACAGGAGUAACUCCAUCUUGGUUACAGUCCUCUUCUCGAGUGACAGAGAAGUGCCAUAAACAGAAACCCUCCUGGCUGGAUACAGAGCACCCUUUAGAUUUGAGAGUUCAAGAGCAGUCUGAUGGCACCAUGAGGGGCUGUCCAGGACUAACUGAUGAGACUAUCAAAUGUCACGGAAGUGAACUGGGGAGAUCCAACAGUAGGAAUACAAAUGGAGAUGAGAAGACACAAAUGGUAACCAGUAAAGGCUGUACUAUGGACUUGGACAUUUUAGACCAGCUUCCCAACAAGUAUUGCUGCACCCCUGAAUGUCCUGCUAGUGGGAGGAGAAGCGGCAGAGGUGUAAGAAAGGAGGGUUUAUGUACAAGUGAUGGAGAUGAAAGUCUGACGCACACAGAUGAAGCCCUUUGUGUCAAAGGCCUAAAAAACUUCAGAGCCGGGUGGCACAGUGAACAAGAACACACUCUGCAGGAGUCAUGGAACUCCCUUCUAAAGUUCAAUUAUUCUCACCGUGGGCGAAUCUCCAACAUGGAUUUUCAAGGGGAUAUCUUUGAUGAGUUUCUACAUCAGCAAAAAAUCAGCCGGCAUGGAGAACAUCAGCUUGUGAGGAAAGAAGGAAUACAAGUGCUACCAAAAAGACAAGAAGAAAAUUACAUGGAGACAGAUGAUGGAAAUGAUUUUAAAAUCCCUGUUUUGCCAUAUGGACAGUACUUAAUAAUAGAUAUUAAAUCCACAUGGGGAGACAGACACUAUGUUGGUCUUAAUGGAAUUGAAGUUUUUAGUUCCAAAGGAGAGCCUGUUCAGAUUUCAAAGAUAAAAGCUGAGCCACCUGAUAUAAAUAUUUUACCAGCCUAUGGCAAAGAUCCAAGAGUGAUAACCAAUCUAACUGAUGGGGUAAAUCGGACACAGGAUGACAUGCACCUUUGGCUAGCACCUUUUACUCCUGGGAAGCCUCACCUUAUCUAUAUUGACUUUGUGAAUCCCUGUCAAGUAGCUAUGAUUAGGAUUUGGAAUUAUAAUAAAUCCCGAAUACACUCCUUCCGAGGUGUGAAGGAUAUUACAAUGCUAUUAGAUGAGCAAUGCAUCUUUAAAGGAGAAAUUGCGAAGGCUUCAGGAACAUUGUCUGGAGCUCCAGAGCACUUUGGGGAUACUAUAUUGUUCACAACUGAUGAUGAUAUUCUAGAGGCCAUAUUCUGCUAUGAUGAGACUUAUGAUGGAGAAAUUGAAAAUGUGUGCUCGCUAAGAUAUGAGGAAGAGCUAAAGAGACCAAGGACUGCUGAUGGGGAGGGAGAUGAGAGACCUUUUACACAAGCAGGCUUAAGAACAGAUGAUAAGCAGGUUCAAGAGCAAGUGAUGGUGUCAGACCAUCUUUCUGAGCUUACACCUAAGGUACCCGGGGUAUACACUGGACAAUGUCUGCAGCUAAAUUUCACCUUAUCCUGGGGAGACUCACAUUAUCUUGGACUGACUGGACUUGAAGUAGUAGGAAAGGAUGGUCAGGCUUUACCAAUUACUAUGGCUCAGAUUUCUGCUUCACCACAAGAUUUAAAUGACCUUGCAGAGUACAUGGAAGAUUCCAGAACAUUAGACAAGUUAAUAGAUGGGACUAACAUCACUGUUGAAGAUAAUCAUAUGUGGCUUAUUCCUUUCACUUAUGGGGAAGAUCACAUGAUCACAAUCCAUUUUGAUAAAGCUGAAAAUAUUGCAGGGCUUCGCUUUUGGAACUAUAAUAAAUCUCCAGAGGAUACCUAUAGAGGGGCUAAGGUUGUCCAUGUCUCGCUGGAUGGACAUUGUAUCUCCCCGCCAGAGGGCUUUCUUAUCCGAAAGGGACCAGGCAACUGUCACUUUGACUUUGCUCAAGAAAUUCUCUUCAUUGACUACUUGAAGCCCCAACAGAUUAUCAGACCAUAUGGGAGAACUAAUGCAAGGGGGAUGGAACAAUCUAGUAUGGACUAUGAAGCACCAUUGAUGCCAUGUGGUUUUAUUUUCCAGUUUCAGCUUCUAAAGAGCUGGGGUGAUCCAUACUAUAUUGGUUUGAAUGGACUAGAGUUGUAUAAUGAACAUGGAGACAAAAUCUUACUCACUGAAAACAAUCAGAUAUUGUACUAAACUGCACCAGACGUAGCCAGUCCAAGAAUCAAGGCAACACAAAUGUGGCUUAAAAGCCACUGUUGAGCCAUCUUGGGCUCAACCACCCCCAUGAACCUGGCCCAUUGUCUUCAGUGGAGUACUCCCUAUCUUUAAUUGUGUAGCUGAGAGCAGAAUCAGUCCCCUGAGCUCCCAGGUAAAUUAGAAGGCUGAGCCAGUAUAUUAAAUACCACCAUUAAUCUUCUCACAGGCAAGGCAGUGUCAGAUCUAUAUUUCAGGUGGAUUCAGAAAAUAAAAAACUCAGUGUCAGCAUCUGGCAACCUAAAGUUACAGAAACCAGAUUUACAGUAGUAUAUACUUAAUUGCUGCCUUAGAAAGCAUAUUAAAACCCCAAGAAUGUUAGUAAAGACCCCUGAGGCAUGAUAACACCAUCCCUUCUUAAAGAUAAUCAGAAAUACUGUUUCUUUAAAGAGAUUGUCCUGGAAAAGUUAGCUCUCCCUAUGGAGAAUGUAUUCAUGGAACCACACUCUCCCUGAAGCCCAAAGAUAGAAUCCUAGCAAGAAAUAAAAGUAGAACAAUAUAUUGAAAACAUACAAUAUUAUUAUUUUCAACUUUUAAAAAUAGGCUUGCAUACUCCUGUGGUCAGCGAACUGCUUUGGAACAUCUGGCAAGGCUUAUCCAUGGUCUAUUGCUAAACUUACCUGAAUUACAGUAAUGCUGAGGAGCUCCCAGACAUGGAUCAGAACCCUGUGGUGCUAGGUGCUAUACAAACACAGAACACAGGGACAGUCCCUACCCCAAAGAGCUUACAGUCUGAAUAUGAGACAAGAGACAACAGGCUGACACAACCAACAGAGGGGGGAGCACAAGGAAGCAAUGUGAUGAUCCUAGCCAGCCAUGUUAAGUUUUUAGUCAGCCUCAGGGCAAAGGGGAGUUUUAAGGGAUCUGAAAGAGGACAAUGAGGUAGCUUUACAAAUGUUAUGAGGAGUAGUUCCUGGGCAAAAGGGGCAGCGUGGGACGCAGCACCAAGGUGCUUGUUGGAAAAUGUAACAAGUGAGCAGUGGAGGAGGGGAAUGCAGAGGGGAGAGUCAUUAUCUCAAUAGCGUAUCAGAGAUGAAAGGUAAGUGGGAAUAGGCCACAAGGGCCUUAUAACCAAGACCAGUAGUUUUUGAUGCAAUAGCAAGGGGGGAGCCAGUGGAGAGAUGUGCAGAGUGGAGGGACACGGUUGGAGUGAUGAGGCAAGGACAUGAUCUUUGCCAUAGCAUUUUGGAUGGAUGUAAGUGGGGAAGAUUGCAUUUGUCAAGGACAUGUUGCAGCAGUCGAGACAUGAGAUGAUGAGGGCCUAAGUGGGCGUUUUAGCUGUGUGGAUGGCAAGGCCGGGUCUUAGAGAUGUUGUGCAGGAAGAAGCAGCAAGAUUUCGACUGGCCUGAAUCAGUGAGCCUAGAGGAAGAUCAGAGUCAAAGAGGACAUCCUGGUUCCAGGCAUGAGAGACAAGCAGGAAGGUGGUGCUGGCCACAGUAAUUGAGACAGGAGGGGGAGGGAAAGGCUUUGAGCGAAGAAGAAAGAGCUCUGUUGUAGGUUAAGCUAAUGGCUGGACAUCCAGGAGGAGAUGUUAGAGAGACAAUCUGAGAUUUCAAGUCUGAACAGAAGGAGAGAGGUCCAGAGUGGAGAACUAGAUCUGUUAAUCAUUGGCAUGGAGAUGAUAGUUGAACUCAUUAAAUGCUUAAAUAUCAUUUUUCUGCUUUCCAGCUCUGCUCCUUUAAUACAAACCUUUGAGUCUUGUUCUUCACGUUUGUCAUGCUUUAUUUUGCAUUCCUUCAUUUGAUGUUUGUCAUGUUUUACUGAAAAUUAAAUGAACUCUUUUCUCUGACAGGUGAAUAGGGUUUAUGUUAUUUUUGACCUGCCCACUACCGUGUCAAUGAUCAAACUGUGGAAUUAUGCAAAAACUCCCCAGAGGGGAGUGAGAGAAUUUGGUCUUCUUGUAGAUGACUUGCUUGUGUACAAUGGAAUUCUAGACAUGGUG